Molecule: long non-coding RNA, 1769 nt
Filed under: Junco hyemalis (dark-eyed junco)
Lineage: Eukaryota; Metazoa; Chordata; Aves; Passeriformes; Passerellidae
Description: lncRNA (ENSJHYG00000001527.1)
Source: RNAcentral
CCAUGUCGCGACACGGCCCCGCCCACCUGCCAUGGUCAGGCCCCGCCCAUAUCGCGACACGGCCCCGCCCACCUGCCAUGGACAGACCCCGCCCAUAUCGCGACACGGCCCCGCCCACCUGCCGCGGGCUGACGAUGAUGCUGCUGCUCUUGGUGCCCGGUUUGAUGGCGGGCAGGGCCGGAACCUCCCGGGGCUCAGCCCGGUUCUGGUCCCGGUUCUGGUCCCGGUCCCGGUUCUGCUCCCGGUUCUGGUUCUGCUCCCGGUUCUGGUCCCGGUUCUGGUUCUGCUCCCGGUUCUGGUCCCGGUCCUUCCCGGUUGCCCCCGAGCCCCUCACCACGAACUCAGCGUAAGAACCGGGACCGGGCGGGAUCGGAACCGGCACCGGGCCCGGAGGGGGCGCGGAGGAGGCUCGGAACAGCGACGGGACCUGGCGGGGACACCGGGACAGCGCCGGUGACACCGGGACAGCUCCAGGGACACCGGGGGGACACCGGGGGGACACCGGGACAGCUCCGGUGACACCGGGGGGACACCGGGGCCACCCCCCGACCCUUCCCGGUCCCCCGUAAUGUCGCCGGUCCCGUUCUCGUUCACCACCCCCGGUUCCGCUCCCCAUCCCCAGUUCCCCGUUCCUGGUCCCGUUCCCGGUCACCUCCCCCGGUUCCGUCCUCUCCUCCCCGGUUCCCCGUUCCCGGUCCCGUUCCCGGUUCCCCUCCCGCCACCGCCGGUACCGGGGAUUCUUCGGGACCCUCCUGCCGAACCGUGAAGCGCCGCCGCUUUCCCCCCGCUGCCGGUGCCGGUGCCGGGUCGGUGGCGGCUCCGGGAUUGGGGUCCGGCUCCGGGUCCGGGUCCAUGCCGGGGUUCGGGAUCGGUUCGGGGGUCCCGGGGUCGAUUCCGGAGGGUCUCGAGGGGUCCCGGGUUCGAUUCCGGGGUCCCCGGUUCGGUUUUGGGGGUCCUGGAUUCGGUUCCGGGAUCCCGGUUCGGGGGUCCCGGUUCGGUUCUGGGGUCCCCGCUUCGGUUUUGGGUUCCCUGGUUCGGUUCUGGGAUCCCGGUUCGGGGGUCCCGGAUUCGGUUUUGGGGUUCCGGAGCCGCCGCGCGCGCUCCGGUCCCGCGGAAGGGGCGUGGCCUCCGCCCUCCCCACGACUGGACCGUGGUGCUGUCAAUCAAUGGAACCACGCCCCCCUUUCCCGCCAUAGGAAGGGGCGGGACCUCAGUGGGUUGGUGGGCGUGGCUAUGGCGGAAAGACCACGCCCCCCUGAGUGACAGUGACAAUCGGGGACACCGAGGGACCCCCGGGACCCCCCCAAAUUAACGGGGACCCCUCCCCAAAUUAACAGGGACCCCCCCAGGGUCAGAAUCCAACAGCGGGACCGGGAUCGGCCCGGGAGGGACCCUCGGGACCCCCCCAAAUUACCGAGACCCCUCCCUGAAUUAACGGGACCACCGGGACCCCUCCCCAAAUUAUCGGGGACCCCUGGGACCCCUCCCCAAAUUACCGGACCCCCCGAAAUUAACGGGGACCUCUCCCCAAAUUAUCGGGGACCCCCGGGACCCCUCCCCAAAUUGGGGCUCCCUCGUCCCUGGAGCAUAAAAAAGGUGGGGAAAUCCCAAAAAGUGGAAAAAUUCCCCCCAAAAGUGGAAAAAUUCCCCCCAAAAUUGGGGAAAAUCCCCCCAAAAUUGGAAUAAUCCCCCAGAAUGUUAAACCCCCAAAGCAGGAGGGAAACCCCAGAAGGAAAUAAAAACCCGGAAUUAUUUUUGGGGUGAAAUCA